Molecule: unclassified non-coding RNA, 1252 nt
Filed under: Hevea brasiliensis (rubber tree)
Lineage: Eukaryota; Viridiplantae; Streptophyta; Magnoliopsida; Malpighiales; Euphorbiaceae
Source: RNAcentral
GAGCAUUUUAAAAGAUCAAAUGUCAUCGAAAAUCUUGAUAGAAACAGAGAUCAUUUUAACAAUUCUCUCCCUGAAAAACUCUCAUUCUCUCGCUCUCCAAGAAAUGAAAAAACCAAUAAAAGGAUUAUAGCUAAGGCCUUUUCUCUUAUAUAUACAAGCAUUUAUACCUCUUCAGCCUGCAACUAAUCUUCAAUCAUUUUAGCAGCUAUCAACAAGACAGACUCCUAUUAAAGAGUGAGCGACUUCCAACAAAAAUUUAGCCAACAUCAAAAAGGUCUUGCAUUGAUUUGGCUGCAUUCAUGCGCAAGUAACAUUUCUUGACCAUUAUCUACUCAUUCUUAAGAUUGCAAUUGAUGGUUCUCACAUAUUGCUUGCCAUUUCUGAAAGAUAAACUCAUAAUUUUAAAUUUCCAUAGAGAGUUUAAUCUAACUUGUGAGGAUGAGCAGCGUGUUAAUAAUAUGAUUAAAACAAGAUCAUUGAAAUGGAGAAGUGUGAUAGGGAGUUAAGUACUAAGAUCCCAGAAAUCAUGAGGGCCAAAGUUUUACAAGAUUGAAAUUUGACAAGCUAUUGUGUACAAUAGUCUGGAUGCUGAAGAAAAAACAAAUGUAUAAAAUUACCCUCACAGAAUCUUGUAUCCCAGUUCCUUCCCCACCCCAUGCUAGCUAGUUUUGUUGAAUUUCAAUUGAGAGCAUGUUUUAGGGAAACCUGAUUUACUUUGGGCAGAGAUGGGGUGGGGCAGGAACUACCAAUAAUCACAUUGGAACCUUUUUUUGUUAACUACAAGUAGCUCUGAAACACAAUUUUUGUUUGGGUAACCCAAUCACUAUUUCAGCCCAAAAAAACAUAAGGCUUGCCAUCCUUCCUCAAGCUAGAUACAACCAACUUGGCAAUAUAUGUAAUGAUAAGCAAAAGUCUCCUGCCUUAGACAAUCAAGCUUUUCUCAAGCCCUCCAGAGAAAUUGAUUGAUCAAAAUUCAACCUCAUAGAUUUCAGUGAACCAUCACUCAACCAUUUUUUUUCUGUUCUUUCAGUUGUCCUAAUUGCAAACCUAGGUGUGCCAGCUUUUUCUUUUAUCAAAACUCGUUCCAUAGCUUUAAAAACCAACAAGAUCUAUGACACUUAAGACAUAAAAAGAUCACAGCCUUGGAGCGCAAGUCAUAAAAGUCGGUUUUCCUUCUCUCCUUCCAGCACAAAAUGAUUUUUUUUUCAAUAGCUACAAAAUUGACUGCUACUGCCUUCCAUCAGGAUGAAUG